Molecule: small nuclear RNA, 92 nt
Filed under: Angiostrongylus costaricensis
Lineage: Eukaryota; Metazoa; Nematoda; Chromadorea; Rhabditida; Metastrongylidae
Source: RNAcentral
CUUCAUUCCUGAACAUGUACUAAAACUGGAACAACACAGAGAAGAUUAGCACGGCCCCUGUACAAGGAUAACACGCAAAUUUCAAAAUUUUU